RNAcentral lists this ribosomal RNA (184 nucleotides) under Bacillus amyloliquefaciens. RNAcentral's name for it is "partial 16S ribosomal RNA". It matches the Rfam family "Bacterial small subunit ribosomal RNA", at positions 1 to 180 of the family's 1533-position model. The record is from RNAcentral. Lineage: Bacteria; Bacillati; Bacillota; Bacilli; Caryophanales; Bacillaceae. RNAcentral also lists the same sequence under 2 other names.
UUUAUCGGAGAGUUUGAUCCUGGCUCAGGACGAACGCUGGCGGCGUGCCUAAUACAUGCAAGUCGAGCGGACAGAUGGGAGCUUGCUCCCUGAUGUUAGCGGCGGACGGGUGAGUAACACGUGGGUAACCUGCCUGUAAGACUGGGAUAACUCCGGGAAACCGGGGCUAAUACCGGAUGGUUGU